This 58-nucleotide non-coding RNA is filed under the name unclassified sequences. The record is from Rfam.
UGACCGCUUCCCCGAAAACGGAAGCUGAGGCUACACGGACGGCCGGGUCAGAUGCCGA